Molecule: ribosomal RNA, 213 nt
Filed under: Triticum aestivum (bread wheat)
Lineage: Eukaryota; Viridiplantae; Streptophyta; Magnoliopsida; Poales; Poaceae
Description: partial small subunit ribosomal RNA
Source: RNAcentral
AUGGACAAUAGAGGUAACAAGAGGAACAUAAGAGGAGGAGGAGGAGGAAGAGGAGGAAGAGGAGGAGGAGGCGUCAUGGACAAGACAGGUACAACGGUUCCCCCUAACAGGCCAACGCCAACAUCAACCAAUAAGCCGGCAGCACAUCCAAGGAACCCUAAGAAGGGGCGUAACCGUAGGAUAAACGUGAGGCUGGCUCAGAAAAGGGUAUAA